CGCUGACGACCGGCGCACGGGUGCGUAACGCGUAUACAAUCUACCUUUUACAGGGGCAUAGCCCGGGGAAACCCGGAUUAAUAUCCCAUGGUAUCAUUUAGUGGCAUCACUUGAAUGAUUAAAGCUUCGGCGGUAAAAGAUGAGUAUGCGUUCUAUUAGCUAGAUGGUAAGGUAACGGCUUACCAUGGCUACGAUAGAUAGGGGUCCUGAGAGGGAGAUCCCCCACACUGGUACUGAGACACGGACCAGACUCCUACGGGAGGCAGCAGUGAGGAAUAUUGGACAAUGGGCGAGAGCCUGAUCCAGCCAUGCCGCGUGCAGGAAGACUGCCCUAUGGGUUGUAAACUGCUUUUAUACGGGAAGAAACACUCCUUCGUGAAGGAGCUUGACGGUACCGUACGAAUAAGGAUCGGCUAACUCCGUGCCAGCAGCCGCGGUAAUACGGAGGAUCCAAGCGUUAUCCGGAAUCAUUGGGUUUAAAGGGUCCGUAGGCGGGAUAAUAAGUCAGUGGUGAAAGUCUGCAGCUCAACUGUAGAACUGCCAUUGAAACUGUUGUCCUUGAGUAAUUAUGAAGUGGUUAGAAUAUGUAGUGUAGCGGUGAAAUGCAUAGAUAUUACAUAGAAUACCGAUUGCGAAGGCAGAUCACUAAUAAUUUACUGACGCUGAUGGACGAAAGCGUAGGUAGCGAACAGGAUUAGAUACCCUGGUAGUCUACGCCGUAAACGAUGGUUACUAGCUGUUUGGCUCGAUU
Molecule: ribosomal RNA, 751 nt
Filed under: Salinimicrobium gaetbulicola
Lineage: Bacteria; Pseudomonadati; Bacteroidota; Flavobacteriia; Flavobacteriales; Flavobacteriaceae
Description: bacterial SSU rRNA
Rfam family: Bacterial small subunit ribosomal RNA
Source: RNAcentral